CAGCCGCCGCGGUAACACCAGCCCCUCGAGUGGUGGGGAUGAUUAUUGGGCCUAAAGCAUCCGUAGCCGGCUCUGUAAGUUUUCGGUUAAAUCUGUAUGCUCAACAUACAGGCUGCCGGGAAUACUGCAGAGCUAGGGAGUGGGAGAGGUAGACGGUACUCGGUAGGAAGGGGUAAAAUCCUUUGAUCUAUUGAUGACCACCUGUGGCGAAGGCGGUCUACCAGAACACGUCCGACGGUGAGGGAUGAAAGCUGGGGGAGCAAACCGGAUUAGAUACCCGGGUAGUCCCAGCUGUAAACUAUGCAAACUCGGUGAUGCAUUGGCUUGAUGCCAAUGCAGUGCCGCAGGGAAGCCGUUAAGUUUGCCGCCUGGGAAGUACGUACGCAAGUAUGAAACUUAAAGGAAUUGGCGGGGGAGCAC
RNAcentral lists this ribosomal RNA (420 nucleotides) under uncultured Nitrososphaerota archaeon. RNAcentral's name for it is "bacterial SSU rRNA". It matches the Rfam family "Archaeal small subunit ribosomal RNA", at positions 459 to 879 of the family's 1478-position model. Lineage: Archaea; Thermoproteati; Nitrososphaerota. The record is from RNAcentral.